UACGGAGGGGGCUAGCGUUGUUCGGAAUUACUGGGCGUAAAGCGCACGUAGGCGGAUAUUUAAGUCAGGGGUGAAAUCCCAGAGCUCAACUCUGGAACUGCCUUUGAUACUGGGUAUCUUGAGUAUGGAAGAGGUAAGUGGAAUUGCGAGUGUAGAGGUGAAAUUCGUAGAUAUUAGGAAGAACACCAGUGGCGAAGGCGGCUCACUGGUCCGGUACUGACGCUGAGGUGCGAAAGCGUGGGGAGCAAACAGG
RNAcentral lists this ribosomal RNA (253 nucleotides) under uncultured bacterium. Its description in RNAcentral is "partial 16S ribosomal RNA". It matches the Rfam family "Bacterial small subunit ribosomal RNA", at positions 524 to 776 of the family's 1533-position model. The record is from RNAcentral.